Molecule: long non-coding RNA, 3006 nt
Organism: Cryptomeria japonica (Japanese cedar)
Lineage: Eukaryota; Viridiplantae; Streptophyta; Pinopsida; Cupressales; Cupressaceae
Exons: 4
Source: RefSeq, a predicted model, not a curated record
GAAACAAUUUCAUUAAUAUUAUUUGCUUAUUCAUUAAAUGUUGUGCACAGAUCUCAUUAAUUUUUUAGGGUUAAAAAAAGAUUACCGUGCAUUUUAGUAUUUGCUGCUAUAAAGAAGGUUUGGUUGAAAGCAUUCCCGUAAUCAGGCACUCUGGAGACAACAUUGUAGAGAGGGAAACGGAUUGAUUUAUCCAGGCUAUCUUUUGCACAGGGCAACAUUCUAGUUUCCACACACUUAUUGCUCAAGGCUAUCUUUUGUGCAGGGCAACUUUCUAGUUUCCACACACUUACUGCUCAAGGUGAGUAAUGAAUUCUUAAAGUUGUUCCUUGUUUAUUUCUUCAAACAUAAUUGCUUUCCUCUUUGUCUACAUUCCAUAUUUCUAAGUUGGCACUACUACAAAUACAAAGUUUCUUAUAUUGGUUAACUAGUUUAGUAAAAUGCUUGCAAACACUAAUCCAAACAAACAAAAUGCGUCAGAUAACCCAAUUAUAGUAGAAACAUACAAAUCACAUGACCAACAAAAUAUGAUAUCAAUUGAUGAGGCUUUAGACAAGGUACAUUGUUUUUUAAUUGAUUCAUUCAAGUACAAAGUUGGUAACUGCUUAUUUGACACAAUACAUGUCUUGCUUCAUUGUAGAUAUACACCUAAUGAACUACGUAAUGGUCUUGUGGACCAUUUCUUACAUUGUCUUCACGAAGGUUGUCUUGUAGCUUUGAAGUCUUUUAAACAUGAAUUACAUCCAACAAUACUAUAUGAUUUGCAUAAUAUACAUGACAUAAAUACAUAUCUAUGUAGAAUGAGACUUUUGGCAACAGAAAUCAAUGCCAAUGGUGAAAUUGGACUUUGGGGUGACACAUUUUGUGUCCACUGGUUAGCAUGUUGGUUAAAUAUACCCAUAUGCAUUUGGUCCUUGAAACGCAAAAAACAGAUAUUUGCAUUUCAAUAAAGAUGCAUGUCAUGCUCCAAUAUCAAUUCUUUUCCAUGACACAAAUCCAGCUGCUGGACAUUAUGAGCCUAUCUUUUCAAGGAUAAGCACAUACAAUUGCAAAUUGCAGAUUGUAUAAAAUAAGUUUGCCAUUUCCAACAAGAUCUUCAUUCACUACGCACUACUCCUCAAGGUAAUGCUAACUUUCCCAAACACAUCCAUAUAUCUUGUACUCCUAUCAUCCUAAUUUCUUUAUAUACCAAACUGAAUUAUUUUAUCAGUUUCUAAUGAAUUGCUCAAUUGAAUCGAUUUUUUUUUUUACUAAUCUUAUUACAAUGUUAUUACUAUAUUUCAUAUUUGUCAUUGCCAUGUCUCAAAGAAUUUAGUUCUACCAUGGGUAUUGUAGACACCCAAAAAUGGUCAACGCUUGCGAAGUCAUACUUUAACAAUUGCGCAUUGCCUCAUUUUAGGUUUUUGCGUCGCAUUAACAUUUCUCCUAUGUCACGCACAUGGUCUUUAUCAUUUGCGAGCAUCGAGUCAUUCUUCUACAUUCUUCAAUCAUCUCGUCUUCGAAUUUGGUCUUGUCGACAACAUUAUCCAGUCAUGAUUUUGAUCAAUCUUAUCAUCAAUCUUAUCAUUUUGGACAUCGUCAAUCCUAAUUAGGGUUUUGUCCUCCUGUCAAUCUUAUCAACUUUAUCAUCAAUCUUAUCAUUAUGGACAUCGUCAAUCCUAAUAAGGGUUUUGUCCUCUUAUCAAUCUUGCCGUUUUACGACCGAUUUGUUAUCGAUCGUUGUCAUGUUCGAUAUUGUCAUUUUGCAAUCUAUUUUGUCAUCAAUCCUUGUCUUCUUGUCAAUUUUGUCAUUUUGCGAUUAUUUCGCUAUCGAUCAUUGUCUGUCUCAAUUAUGUCAAUUUGGAUCAAUUUGUCAUUGUUCCUCGUCAAUUGGCGCAUUUAUCAAUCAAAUCAUUUUGUCGCAUUGGUCAUUUAUCAAUUCAAAAUUAUGACAUUAAUUAUCUUCAAUCAAGACCUAAUUGUCAUUUUCGCAUUUCUAAUUCGUCUUCUAAGGUUUUAUGAUUUAUUCAUUUAACCUAAUUUGUCAUUUCUUCUCCUAGGGUUACUAAAUUAUUUAUUAAUCCUAAGUUACAAUUAAAUCUUUAUUUAAUUGGCUAAUUAUUCUUCCUCUUGUAAAUUAAUUAAUAAAUGACAAAUUGUUAAUUAAUUUACCUAAUUUCUUCUAGUUCCUAAUUUCCUAUUUUUCCAUCAAUUUCUAAUUCCUAAUUUGUCAUCAAUUUCAAUUUCCUAAUUUUUCAAAUUUCUAAUUCCAUUUUCCUCCUAUUUCAUCUCCUAAUUCCAUGGGAAUGGCAUUUCAAUUUGUCAUGAAAUUGUCAUAAUUGAUAAUCAAUCAAUUUUGACAUGGAAUGUGUCAUAAGUUUGUCAUCAAUUAUCAAUCAAUCAAAUUGUGCAUGGAAAGUGCAUAAUUUGUCAUAUUUUGUCAUAUUGAUUUGCAAUUUCCCUUUGAAUUGCAUCAUGCCAAUCUUGUCAUUUAUCCAAUUUCUCUAUAAAUUGGAUAAUUUUCUUCAAUCAAUCCCUUGGAAUCCUUGAAUUUUCGAAUUGCUUCAUGAAUCCCGAAUUUCUGUCAAACUACCGAACUUUCGUUUCUAGUACUCUUGAGCUUUUUGCUUUCAAUUGUGUGAGCACUUGUAGGUGAGAUCCACAAACCCAUUGAAGAGGAAAGAACAACAAUGGAGCCGCAUGGAAGAAGCAUAUGGUUUGCAUGAUAUUUUCUUUUAAAUGCUUCAUUUUCAUACCUUCAUUGAAUGUGCUUUAGAAUUAGGUUCAUUGCAAUGAGUAUUUUUUUGAUUGAGCUAUCAUGUUUAACGUUUUAAUUGAUAUACUUAUCUUGUGAUGAUUCCUAAUUCUUACGCUACAGGUAUAGCAAUACAGAAACUACUGCUUGAUACUUUUUACACCUCCAUGACGUAUGCAAAUGUACAUAUAUUUCUGCAAGCUAUUGUUUUAUGUGCCUUAAAAUGUGAUUUUCUGAAAUUCUCUCUUGUACUAUAGCUCAUUGCAUUUACAACA